RNAcentral lists this transfer RNA (70 nucleotides) under Loxodonta africana (African savanna elephant). It matches the Rfam family "tRNA". Rfam says of the family: Transfer RNA (tRNA) molecules are approximately 80 nucleotides in length. Their secondary structure includes four short double-helical elements and three loops (D, anti-codon, and T loops). Further hydrogen bonds mediate the characteristic L-shaped molecular structure. tRNAs have two regions of fundamental functional importance: the anti-codon, which is responsible for specific mRNA codon recognition, and the 3' end, to which the tRNAs corresponding amino acid is attached (by aminoacyl-tRNA synthetases). tRNAs cope with the degeneracy of the genetic code in two manners: having more than one tRNA (with a specific anti-codon) for a particular amino acid; and 'wobble' base-pairing, i.e. permitting non-standard base-pairing at the 3rd anti-codon position. The record is from Rfam by way of RNAcentral. Lineage: Eukaryota; Metazoa; Chordata; Mammalia; Proboscidea; Elephantidae.
GCAUUUGUGGUUCAGUGGUAGAAUCUCAUCUUCCAUGCAAGAGAACCAGGUUUGAUUCCUGGCCAACGCA